This is a long non-coding RNA of Megachile rotundata (alfalfa leafcutting bee), 2020 nucleotides long. Lineage: Eukaryota; Metazoa; Arthropoda; Insecta; Hymenoptera; Megachilidae. The record is from RefSeq and is a predicted model, not a curated record.
AUUGCAUCAAUUUUUAUUUAGUUAUAGUAAAAAUAAUUAUUAUAUAUUUUAUAUUAAACAUAUACAGAUAUCUUAAGUUGAAAAGUGCUGUUGAAUAGAUAUGAAUUUUCAUGAUGAAAAUUUGAAUGUACAGUAACAUUUUGUAUGACGUUAAAUGAGAGAAGAGGGGGAGACAGUGUCAAGUGUAGCCUUGGAUGCGAUAUCUUACGUUUAUUGAAAGAGAACUCGGGUGCUAGUAUUAUCGGGUAUGGUGUUACAGUCGUGGCCACGUUGUGAAUGCGCGCAGUCUUCUUUACAACUACUUUGCAAAACGUUUAAGAAAACGAUCGAAAAUAGGGCUAGUGUUUCCAUUUUUGUAGAACCUCAUUUUCUGCAUCAAAUGGUUCUUUACGAGAUAUGUAUUAGUGUUUGGAGGAAAUCACUGAAAAUAUUGUAGACGAAUAUAAGAUGAUGAUUUUAAUCGAUUUGGCAAUGAGGUAUAACAUAUAGAAUAUUAAUGGUGUUAGUGCUAAAUUUACUGGUAAUUACGUGAAGUUUUUGUGCUCUUGAUUUUUUGUCAACAAUCAUCGUCUUUAAAAGCAAAAGUGGUUUAACUUAUGAUACGGACUGAUUUUUCGAAGGAAAUCGUCGCCGGCGCCAGAUCAGAUAAGUUAUAAUGAACGAUCAAUCAUCGAUGUUAAAUCAAUAAUCAAGGAUCGAAAAUAACAAUCUUUUGUGUAUUUGACACAACAUAAAUAAUUUAUUAGUAACUGGUUGCUACCUUUUUAAUUAUUCAACAAUUAUGAAAAUUUUAUUUAAUUGCUAUAAAUACUGAAUCAUAACUAAUUCUAUUCAUUGAAUAAAAUGCCAAUUUAUUUAUAUAAAUUUCAUUAAAGUAAUAUGAAAUCGUUAAUAAACGGUAAAUAAUCAGCGUGGAAUAAAAAUUUGUCGAUUUAAGGCAAUUGAUGCAAAUUUAUCUUCCUUGUGACGUGUUUGUAUAUUCUUGACCUUUUAGAUCACACCAUCGUUUGUCAAUGAUUUUGACAACUACUAUAAUCAGACUAAUUGUUCCUCCUCUCUCUUUAUUCCGAGAGUCAUUAACUAACAAAUAUAAUUUGAAAAAUGAAUAAGCACACAUUGAAAAUUGUGGUUAAAGCAACGAAGUUAAGGAUUUCUCUCAUAUUAAUUCGAACUUUUAAAACAACUUAUGAAUACAUUAGAAAUAAAAUUUUAUUUAACAAUUAUAAAUAUUUUAUCCUCGUUUAAUCUAAGCUAUUGUAUUUAUUUGUUUUUAUAUAAGUAAAUGUUAUUUACUUUUAUGUGCAAAAACCAGAAUUUUGGUUUUAAAUGUCUUUCAUGAAACUGAAAUAACAUCAUUUUGUGAGAACAUAGUAUAAUGAGGGGAACAAAGAACAGUUUAGUCUUAAUUUGUACGUCAUUCCUCAGGAAAAUGCGAUAAUACCAUCAACCAUUUAUCUUCUCCUCCUCCUCCUUCAGUGAAUUAUUAUUUUACAUGCACUAAGCAUGUUUAAAGUACAUUUAAAUAUUUAUUGUUAACACGUUGAUAUGUCAAUAUGGCCACGUGUAUUAUAUACAUUUUAUAAUAUGAAAGAAAUAGUUCGUAAUAGCUUAUUUUAAUAGUUUUUGAUUUACAAUCGGAAAUAUUAUUACCUACAUUAUCCAAUAUUAUUAGAAAUUUUAUUGCUGAGUUAGGUAUUUUUUGUAUGUAUAUUUGAAUGUCUCGAUAAUAUCUCUAAAACGGUUUAACUGAUUUAGUUAAAAUUUUCGCAGUCGGUCUUAUGUAAGUUUACAGUAAUAACUAUAUAUACAUACAUAGUUUUUUAUUUUGAUUACAUCUAAUGGAUGACAGGAAAAGUAUGAAUAUUAAAAAAUGUUUCAAAGAAAGGUUUAAUGGCAUCGAAGGAAAUAUAAUUCGAUGCCAGAAAUUUUUUGUAACUAAACGCGCAGAGCACUCAUGACGGUCAAAUUUAGUUUUUUAUUUAAAGAUUUGCAUACCUUUUCAUGCUAGUUAAUUUUUCAA